Lycium ferocissimum is the source of this 4037-nucleotide RNA transcript. It is a transcript of the gene named putative pentatricopeptide repeat-containing protein At1g56570, with no coding region annotated. The transcript has 4 exons. The record is from RefSeq and is a predicted model, not a curated record. Lineage: Eukaryota; Viridiplantae; Streptophyta; Magnoliopsida; Solanales; Solanaceae.
AAAAGAAAAAAGUCCUUUUGCCAACAUAGAUAAGCGGGUGAAAAUCCUAUCUCAUAAUAAUAUUAGUAGCUUCAAUGCACGGCAUAUCACUGAUGAAUUUCCUUUCUUGUGCUAAAUAUGGGAUUUUUGAAGCUAAUUUUUACUGCCCAGUGUUGCAGUGCCAGUUGCCCACCACUUCUUCAAGUAACAGAGUAGUCGUAUUGAGAUCAGAAUUGUCAUUGCCAAAUACCAAGAGAAAUAAUGGGGUUAUUCGCAGCAAGAUGCUUGAAACUAGUGUUAGUUCUGAAGCGACCCCCAAAACUCAAGUCCAAAAACUGGUCGAUCUACUCCAUGUAUGUGCUAAAGAAGAGUUAUUAAAUGAAGCCAAAGCUAUUCAUGGUUAUAUUCUGAAGUCUAAUAUUUCAGAUAAUAACUUGUUGCUGUUGCUUAAUCAUGUAUCACACGCAUAUUUAAGAUGCUCAGAUUUUAGCUCUUGUCAGGUAUUGUUCGAUAAAAUGUCACAGAAGAAUGUCUUUUCUUGGACUGUCAUGAUUGUGGGGUCAAUAGAAAAUGGAUUUUUCUAUGAUGGGUUUAAAUACUUCCAUGAGAUGCUAAAUUAUGGAGUGCUGCCAGAUGGAUUUGCUUACUCAGCUGCACUUCGGUUGUGUAUUGCUUUGGGAAGCCUUGAAUUGGGUAAAAUGGUACAUGCUCAGAUUGUUAUGAGAGGCUUUACUUCUAAUGUUGUUAUUAAUACAUCACUACUUAACAUGUAUGCGAAGUUGGGGAAUGUUAAAGAUUCAUCUCUGGUUUUCAACAGUAUGAGUGAAAGGAACGCGGUUUCUUGGAAUGCAAUAAUAUCAGGACUUACUGCUAAUGGUCUUCAUUUGGAAGCGUUCAAUCAUUUUCUUGAAAUGAAAAAUAAAGGACUUUCCCCAGAUGUAUACACUUUAGUUGGUGUGAUGAAGGCAGUUGGGAGAUUAGGUGAUAUUGGGAAGGGUAAGGUAGUCCAUAGUUGUGUCUGUGAGUUGGGUUUGGAGUCUAAUGUUGUUGUAGGAACUGCACUGAUUGAUAUGUAUGCUGAAUGUGGAGCUUUAUGUGAGGCAAGGGCUGUUUUUAAUUCUAAUUUCACCAAUUGUGGAGCAAAUAUGCCAUGGAAUUCAAUGAUUUCUGGUUGUGUACAGUGUAAAUGUAGCCAAGAAGCUCUGGAGCUGCAUGUUAAUAUGUGUAAAAAGAAUGUUACGUCUGAUAUAUACACUUACUGUAGUCUGUUCGAUGCAAUUGCUGAAUUGAAGUGUUCCAAGUUUUUAAGGGAGGUUCAUGCAGCAGUUCUUAAAUCUGAAUAUGAUUGUAUAGCCCUAAGCGUGCAAAAUGCAAUUGCAGAUGCUUAUGCUAAAUGUGGGUCUCUUGAGGAUGUAAGGAAGAUCCUUGAUAGAAUGGAACAUAGAGAUAUAGUGUCAUGGACCACCCUUGUGACUGCAUAUUCUCAAGAUUCCCAAUGGCAGGCAGCUAUAGCCGUCUUUUCUCAGAUGAGGGAAGAAGGCUUUGUAGUCAAUCAGUAUACUUUGGCUAGCAUCCUUGCUGCAUGCGCUAGUCUAUGCUAUCUUGAGUAUGGUCGACAACUUCACGGGCUCCUGUACAAAACUGGCUUACAGAAUGAGAGUUGCACAGAAAGUGCACUGGUGGAUAUGUAUGCCAAAUGCGGGAGCAUAAUUGAGGCCGAAAAGGUAUUUGGUUGUAUUUCCAAUGCUGAUGCCGUUUCGUGGACGGCCAUGAUAUCCGGGUAUGCCCAACAUGGUUCUGUAUUUUGUGCACUUGAACUAUUCAAGAAGAUGGAGGAGUUGGGAAUUAAACCUACUGCAGUUACAUUAUUGUGCAUUUUGUUUGCUUGUAGUCAUGGUGGAUUGGUUAAAGAAGGUCUUCGCUUUUUUUGGUCAAUGGGUAAAAGGUAUAAUUUGGUACCAGAGAUGCAACACUAUGCUUGUGUGGUUGAUCUCCUUGGCCGCGUGGGCCUUCUAAGUGAAGCAUUUGAAUUUAUCAGGAAAAUGCCUGUUGAACCGGGUGAAAUGGUUUGGCAAUCACUGUUAAGUGCAUGUAGGCUUCAUGGUGAUUCUGAGCUAGGAGAAAUAGCUGCCAAGAAGAUCCUUUCUGUUCACCCUCAAUAUUCAGCUACAUAUGUUCUUUUAUCCAAUACAUAUAUGGAAACUGGGAAAUUUAGAGAGGGAAUUGACUUGAGAAAUGUGAUGAAAAAGCAAGGGGUUAGAAAGGAGCCAGGCUAUAGUUGGAUUACGAUUAAUGGUAAGGCCCAUAAAUUUUAUUCGGGAGAUCAGGAACACCAACAGAGAGAUGACAUUUAUCUUACGCUGGAAGAACUAAGGGUGAAAAUGAAGGCUCUGGGUUAUACACCAGAUUUUAGAUAUGUUUUGACAAGUGGAGAUUGAAAUAGAACCUUUUAGCAGCUACUUAAUCAAGUCAACAUAUGGAAGUACAAUGUUACAUGAUUUUGGGGAAUGACUUAUAGGAGAAAGUCUCUUUAUGAUGAGAGUUUUGAACUCGCGGAACAUAUCAUUAGAAAGCAAACUUUGGUGCUACUACUACUUGAAAUCCUAAAUUCUAAAAGCUAAUAUUUUAUUGGGGACUUGUCUUUAGGUUUAAUCAUAGCACAGAGGUUAGAUAUUCUGUACAAAAUGAACUAUUUACCACCUCCGCUGCUACAAGACGGAGUAAAUGCAGAAACGUGGUAGACAAAUGAACUUUUCUUUAUGUUUUUCUCAUAGCACAGUUGUGGGCCUUCCUUUUUCUUUCUGUCUUGUUAGAAGUGUGCUCUCUCCAACAGCUUAAACUUUUAGAUGAGAUGGUCAAACACUUCGACAUGUCUGCUGUAUCCUAAACACUCGUUGCAAAUUCUGUCUCACAUCUUGAAAGUUUAAGCUGCAUGGCAUUAUGAAAGAUGCAACUUCAAGAGUCUCCCCAAAGGAAAAAGUGCCAAAAGCAGGGAAUCAGGGACCUUGUAUUCUUUUUGUCCCUUCUAAAUAUUGACUUCACUGGGACAUGCCCAGUGAAAAAAGGGUUCCUUUGGGAUGAAAUGGACUUGAACAGAGAUGAACAGAAUGGAUAAAGAGAACUCAUACAGCUGACACCUGAAUUAUUUGUUAUUAAGGCACAAUUGGUUGACUGAUUGAUGGCAGGACGUCUUAUAUUCAAAUCCAAAUUACCUGCAUUCUUUUAUAGACUGAAGUUCCAAGCUUGUGAAUUUUCGCUGAGUAGGAGUAUUUUCAUGGAUCAUAAACAUGCCAUUUCUUGCUACUAAUUGCUUAGACCAAGCCAGAAGUAGGAGGCUCUUCUCUAUGUUUCAGCAAGGAAGAAUUUAUCUUAAGAAGAGCUGGAGACAUUUAUAAAUUAAAGGGAUAGAAAGAGAGCCAGGUGAUGUUGCAAGAGGUAGUUUGGAGUAUCAUGGGAAAGAUUGGCAUUUUAAGAUAAUCCAAACCAGAUCACAACUUGACUGUUAAGUAUUCCAAUGUCACCUGAUAAAACCCCACAAGUCUAAGGUCAACGCCUACCAAGUUUUUAAUGAGAUGCAUGGACAGGUUGCAACAAGAGCUAUUUUUAUAAUAGUUGCAUUGGUUGUUCAUCCAUGCAAACUCAAUAUUUGUCUUAACGAUAUUUGGUUGUCCCAUGUGGCAUGAUAUUAUCUUAUGAACUGAUUCUUAGAGAAAGUAGGAAGCAUACAAAUUCUUAUUUGCUGCGAGAAAUGGACUACUUCUCUUCAGGAUUAAGGUCUCUUAAUCCACGGAGGAAGAUAUCUUAUAUGAGAAUUCAGUUAAACAUUAAAGUUUUUUUUUUUUUUUUUUUUUUUUUUUCAUUUUGCAUAUUUCCCACGAUUGUAAGCAUGUUUCAUGGUUUAACACAACUUCCAGGGGUAUUGACACAUCAGCAGAACAACAGUGCUCAAUUCCAUGACAAUGUGCUAGUACCCUUCUUGCCAAAAUGAUCACCUAAAUGCCACAUUUUAUUCCCCAUGUAUCCCAAUCAUUAAUAUGCUUUUCCUUAGAUGGUCUCAA